RNAcentral lists this ribosomal RNA (253 nucleotides) under uncultured bacterium. RNAcentral describes it as "partial 16S ribosomal RNA". It matches the Rfam family "Bacterial small subunit ribosomal RNA", at positions 524 to 776 of the family's 1533-position model. The record is from RNAcentral.
UACGUAGGGGGCAAGCGUUGUCCGGAAUCAUUGGGCGUAAAGCGCGCGUAGGCGGCCCGAUCAGUCCGCUGUAAAAGUCCAGGGCUCAACCCUGGAAAGCCGGUGGAUACUGUCGGGCUAGAGUCCGGAAGAGGCGAGUGGAAUUCCUGGUGUAGCGGUGGAAUGCGCAGAUAUCAGGAAGAACACCCGUGGCGAAGGCGGCUCUCUGGGACGGUACUGACGCUGAGACGCGAAAGCGUGGGGAGCGAACAGG